GUGGGGAAUCUUCCGCAAUGGACGAAAGUCUGACGGAGCGACGCCGCGUGAGUGAAGAAGGCCUUCGGGUCGUAAAGCUCUGUCAUCAGGGACGAACGGCCGGUGGAGUGGAAAGCCACCGGAUUGACGGUACCUGAGAAGGAAGCCACGGCUAACUACGUGCCAGCAGCCGCGGUAAUACGUAGGUGGCAAGCGUUGUCCGGAAUUAUUUGGCGUAAAGCGCGCGCAGGUGGGAUCUUAAGUCCAUUUUGAAAGUUCGGAGCUCAAAGACGUGAUGGGAUGGAAAGUGGGAUUCUUGAGUACCGGAGAGGAAAGCGGAAUUCCCCGUGUAGCGGUGAAAUGCGUAGAUAUGGGGAGGAACACCAGUGGCGAAGGCGGCUUUCUGGACGGUGUCUGACACUGAGGCGCGAAAGCUAGGGGAGCGAACGGGAUUAGAAACCCGAGUAGUCC
Molecule: ribosomal RNA, 450 nt
Filed under: uncultured bacterium
Lineage: Bacteria
Description: partial 16S ribosomal RNA
Rfam family: Bacterial small subunit ribosomal RNA
Source: RNAcentral